AUCUCAGCCUCCAGAGUAGCUGGGACUCCAGAUGUGCACCACCACACCUGGCUAUUUUUUUGUUUGUUUGUUUUUUGGUAGAGGUAGGGUCUUGCUCUGUUGCCUAGGCUGGUCUCUAAUUUCUGGGCUCAAGUGAUCCUUCCACCUCCCAAAGUGCUAGGAUUGUAGGCAUAAGGCCCAGCGAUAAAUAUUUACUGAGUGGAUAACUGAACAAAUGGAUGGACACAUCUGUGGGUCAUCAUAUUGACUCUCUUUGUGGUGCCAGAUGUGAUGAGCCACAGGAGUAAAAUAUACUCCAUGAAAGAGAAGGGAGGAUCACGAGAGGGGUUCAAGCACACUCAGCUGAAGCUGCUUCCCCACUCUGGACUAUCCAGGCAGAAUCUUAAUAUUGGUCACAGUGCACAGAGGGUAUUUCCCUCAGUCAAGGAGCUUCCUAUGGGCCCUUCCUAUAGGCCCAGGACCACGCAGUUAUUUAUUAGUCCCUGACUUAUAAGAGCUUGCAGUCUAAGUGAAGAGACAGUGUUACCUCGGAGGAAAUAAUGACAUGAUUUGCAUAAAUCAAUAAAUAAUUGGCCUUAAGUAAUGUAGGAAGAUGUAUAAUUAUAAUGAGUUCAAAGAAAAGAGAGAUGAGUGGGGCUGGAACAGUCCAGAAAGCACCAUUGAAGAAGUGGGAUUUGACUUUGAUGCAGAGAACAGGCAAAUGCUCAUUCACGUGGGGGAAUGUGGGUUAAUUUUCUGAAUCCUGAUCCCACCUGGGGCAUCACAGUGCUAUUUUCCAGAUGCAUGCCCAAGUCCCCUUUCAAUUUUCCAUCCCUGGUCUGCAUGGCAGGCGAGAUUUCCAUCACCAUUAGAGCAGAUGGGGCUUCACAAAGAGCAGUGCAAUUUGAGUGCUGAUGAGGCCAACAGGUUUGAUUCAGAAGGUUGUUAUUGCUGCCAGGCUGUAACUUAGACAUAUAAAUUUGCUGCUUCAAAUGUUCCAUCAGGAGAAUCAGCUGGGGAGCACUAAUCCUAAGUGAAACCGUCUUGAUUACAAUGGAAGAAACGACAACAGCAUAUCGUUUAACUGCUGAACCCUUACAAUGAAACACAAAGCGGCAUUAAAGUUCUCUGCCUGUAAUGCCAUGGUUUAAGCAGUUAAUCUUAUUUUAGCUGAAUGGCAUGUUCAUUACAGCAAAUAAGUAGGUAAUGUGUGGGAUUACUGAAGAGGGAAGAUAAAUUAAACCAGUUAUGGGCAUCAUGUUGAUUUUUUUUAACUGUCUGAUUUAACUUGGUAUUUUUCAACAGCCAGAUCUAAUAAACACUCAUUUAGCAGAGAUUAAGGAGAUGGGACUCUUGCCCAGAAAAGGUAUUAUAUAUGACUUGAGAUGCUAGUUUUAAGGGCAGUAAUUCAUGAUACUCAGCACUGGCUCCAGCCUGGAAUCUUCAGUGCUUUAACACGAGGGGUUCAUGAGUGGCAAAGCAGUGCUUCUCACUUUCCACUAAAUAGUUAUGUUUCUACCAUUUAUACUUUUUAUGGGCAGCUGAAGGACUUUUCUUCAAGGUCUCAAACAUUCUUUUCUGUAGACCUGCUACAAAGACACCUUCUAACAUCAUACAGUGUAGUUCAGGAAUGUAUUUUAUCUUUUCUCAAACAACUGCUACUCUAACUUCAAAAACCAUUCAUUGAACUAUGGGUACAAAGGACAAAGGAGAUAGAGUCCUUGAAUUGGAAGAGAUUACAAUGUAGUCUGGAGAGGAGGAAUAACAAUCACACACAAUAAAGAACAAUAAAGAAGCUGGUAACAGCAUGAGCGGGUACAUAAACAAGUGCCAAAUUACAUAGCCAAUUUGUGCAGUGUAGCCCAUAAGGAAACAGAUGGACAAGUACUUACUGAGCAGCAUGAAAUACUCCAGGUUGGGUAUUGUGCUGUAGGCUUUUUGUAUACUUAAUUUGUGCAAAUUUUUUUUUUUGAGGCAAGUAUUAUGAACUCCCAUUUCACAGGUGUAGAAACCAAGGCUCAGAGAACCAAAUCGCUUACCCAAGUAGGGGGAAAGCCCCAGGUCUGAUUUCAAAGUCCUUGCCUUUUCCUUUAUGGCAAAUUGUUUCUUUAAGAAAUAUGAAGAGUCAGGAGCAGAAGAAAAUCAUGUAAGAUGUCAUGGAAGAAGUGGAAUUGGAUCUGAGUCUGAAUGUACCCUUCAACCCAACUUCAAAGCAGCAAAUACCUUGAUGCAAUCUGUUUGACAGUCAAUUCUGCUUCCAGGAAUUAAGCCUAAAUAAUUAAGAAAAUGUCCCUUUAGAAAGUUUGUAUCCAUUUGCACUCACACCAUAUAUUAUAUAAAUUCAUUGUUCUCAUGCCAAUACCAGACAUUAUCAUUCCUUUUCAAUAUCUGCCAGUCCAUUAGAUGGAAUAUAGUAUCACCAUGUAGCUAUAAUUUGUGUUUCUUUAGUGGGUAGAUAUGAACACCUAUUCAUAUCUUUGCUGCCUAACUUUGUUUUAGAAUUCUCUGUACCUUUUCCUUUGCUGAUUUUUUUUGAGACAAGGUCUCGCUCUGUCUCCUAGGCUGGAGUGCAGUGGCAUGAUCUUGGCUCAUUUCAGCCUUGACCUCUUGGGCUCAAGCAAUCCUCCCACCUUAGCCUCCCAAGUAGUUAGGACUAGAGGCACACGCUACCAUGCCCAGCUAAUUUAUUUUUUUAUUUAUUUUUUGUAGAGAUGGGGUUUUACCAGGUUACCCAGGCUGGUUUUGAACUCCUGAACUCAAGCAAUCCUCCCGCCUCAGCCUCCCAAAUGCUGGGAUUACAGGCAUGAGCCACCAUGCCCUACUUUAUUUUUCUAUAUUUAUUUACCUCUAAAUAAUUUUAUUUUAAAUUUAAUUUUAUAAAUUAAAAUUCAUUUUCAUUAUUGCAUUUAGAACACUUUACACAUUAAGAUCUUUGAAUUGUCAUAUAUGCUGCAUAUUACUUCUAGUUGAUUUUUUUUAACACAAACAAAUCUGAGUCAUUUUCUUUAUAAUUUCUGCAGUAGCAUCCUGGAAAUACAGUUACAGCAAGAGGUAACCUUCAGAGUAGACAGCUGUCUCGAAAUAGUAGCUCAGGUGAAGGGAUAGCCAGGGCAGACUUGUACAACUUCUAAGUAUCUGCAAGGACAAUCCCAGUUGUGCAGACUCAGGGCUCCAAUGAGAUUCAUAGUUGUUAAAAGGACAAGUAACUCCUGA
RNAcentral lists this long non-coding RNA (3192 nucleotides) under Homo sapiens (human). RNAcentral's name for it is "HSALNT0111147". Lineage: Eukaryota; Metazoa; Chordata; Mammalia; Primates; Hominidae. The record is from RNAcentral.